UGCCCCGCGCGGCGUCGCCGCCUGCCGUCAACACCACCCUGGAGAGGUGGUCAAGCUCUACCCGUCCGGCGCGGCGGGCGCCGCAACACCGGGGAGGCGGCGCCGGGGCCGAGGCCGGGGUCCGACCUGCUGUCCCCGCUGGCGCUCGGGGGAAGCUGCCACAAACACCCGAACCGGCCGGUGCAGCUCUACUGCCGCAUGUGCCGGCAGGCGGGGUGCGGGCAGUGCGUCUCCGAGGAGCACCAGGGCAUCUUCCACUCCGUCAACCUCAUAGACACGGUGUACCAGGAAGAAAAAUUAACCUUCUUCAGCACUCUGAAACAAAUGAGAAUAAUAAAUGAGAAGCUGAUGAAUGAGAUCUCAAAACGACCAAAUGAUACGGAUAUGAUGCUGAACAACGAUGUGGAGAUAAUUGAGCUGAAAUUUGGAGAAAUUUUCAAAACUCUAGAAAUGAAAAAACAGCAGUUACUAGAAGAUGUUGAAAAUCAAAGAGGUAAAAAAGAGAAAGAAUUUCAGAUUUGGAAGAAAAUGAAAGAAACUCACAAGAAGACCAUUGAGAAUUUUUUGAAGGAUUGUGAAAAGCUUGUCCAUGAGUGUGAUCCUCAGCGUUUCCUGGAGGUUGCCUGUGGCUUGAAUACAAGAAUGAAAACUCAGCUUGACGUGAUGAAUAUAGCAUCCAGCUGGGAAAGACCACCAGUGUGUAUGCCAAAGAAGAUGGAUAUCAAAUCUGUGGUUAAUGAAAUCAUAGCUUUGGAGUUAACACCUGUUAAUGUAGGCAUUGUUAAAGGAUUACCAUAUGAAGGAAAUGAGAACUCACUGUUUAAAGAUAUCACGAAGCAGUGUCAGGACCAGAAGAAUAUACCAAACACAUUUCUUCCUGUGGCGGGACAGGAUGAAGCAGACGGUAGCAAGAUCGCUACUCGUUUUAUGUCGAUAUCACAAAUGUCAGCAUUUCAAAAUCUGAGUCAUGAGGAGUUACGUUACAAAUACUAUAUGGAACUUCAGAAACUCAACAAUUUGUUCAAGACACAAAAUUUACCUGCAAAUAAAAAAUAUAAAUUUUUAACUGCUGAGGCCUGGAAGGAUAAGUCCUCAGGAACUCCUUUUGUAUCUUCACCUACCAAAGCAAGUAACACAGAUAAAAUAAAAAUGGCAACCCUGCGAAGAGCAGGCCGCUUUGACAAAAGAAAUUUUCUUGGAAGCAUCCCAUCCACAAAUACAAACUUUUCUGAAACAAAUGGUGACUUACAAUUGUUUCAUGAGGGAAAUUCCCAGGAAGUAACCACUCAAGACUCAGAGAACUCUAAAGACUUGUUAGUUAAAGAAAAGUUACAACCAUCCUCAGUUACUGUUUUCAACGAAAUGGACACAAAUUGUAGCACUUCAUCAGGUGUAAAACCAGCAGCAACAGUAGCUGUUACUGCUGCAAGUUCAGAAUCUCUAGAUAUUUCUGCAGAGAGACUUUCUGGUGUACCUUUUACUUUCAGUGCAACUAACAACUCAUUACCGAGAUUUAUUAAAGAUAGAGGUCUAUUUUCCUUUAGAAAGCAAGACAGGAAAUGUGCUUUCCCUCAGUUUUAUCUAGGGAAAUGUGAUAAUGUGGAUAAAACUGAUAACCGGGAUAAACGUGGUCGUGAAACCAAAACCACAGUUUGUGAUUCUUCAGCCAGUCCUAAUUUAGACUCAGCAGAAAGCACAAAGCCAUACAUUUUGUUUCCCUUUGGCAAUUCAGAAAGAGAUUGGUUUGUACGAUCAGAAGUCAGUAAUUCAUUUAAGGUUUUACCACCAUCAUCGUUUCUUAACCAGUCUGAGAAGCCAUCUGACAAAAAAAUGUUAUCUCCCAUGAGAGAAAAAACACUUUGUGCAAAGGAAACUGCAGAAUAUGGUACACAGAAAGCAUCUGUCUUAUGGGAACAAAGAUCUCAUGCCUCAGAAUCCAGCACAACUGUAACUUGCGUUACUUCAGAAACCAAUACUGCUGCUGGGGUGAAUGAUGUCUCUGAAUCACCCCUUCUCACCAAUAAUUGUGCAUUUCCCUUCAAAAGUAACGUUCCAUUAUCUUCAUCAGUAUUUUCAUUUGGAGGUAUUGUCAAAAAUACCUCCGAAUCACCGACUACUUCUGUGGUUUUUUCUGGGAACAGAACUGAAAAAAUGGAAAAGGAGAAGAGCAAAUCUCCUGACAAAACACUUGAAAAUCUAGGGAAGCCUGUAUCCUCUGAGUCUGCAGAGCCUGCUUCUAGUCAUAGUCAUCCAUGUGAAGGCUCAUGCUUUCCUGUGAACUCAGCUAAAAAAGCUGAAAGUGCAGAAAUGCUUGAUGAUGAUAAUGCUUCCUGUAGUCAGCUUUUAUGUUCAGUUGUGCUUCCAGCUGAAUAUGAGAAUACAUCUUCCAUUCAAAUUACUGCAACAACAAAGCAAGAAAAAAAGGUAGAAGAUGAAGAAACUGUUGCUGCAAACGGCUGUAUGCGUCCUAGGAGGGAAGAUGAACUUGAGCCUGUACAGUUUCAGAAUGCAAUGUGUUCUGUUCCUGGCACAUGCAAUGAUCCAUCUUUAGGAGGUUCUGUGCAUGCAGUAAAUGAGACAGGAGGAAUGCCAAGUGACAGCAAUUCUGACACUGAGGAGCUAAGUCAAACAUGUGUCUCUACUGAUACCAACCACGCAUCAGAAUAUUUUUCUGUUGCAGAAGACAAAAUGUCUACUAGAAGAAAAUCAGACAUGAAGAAAGAGUGAGAUAGAAGAUAACUAUACUUAAAUAAACUAGAAAUAAAUAAAUUCUACUUAACA
This is a long non-coding RNA of Manacus vitellinus (golden-collared manakin), 2781 nucleotides long. The record is from Ensembl. NCBI's taxonomy places the organism in Eukaryota, Metazoa, Chordata, Aves, Passeriformes, Pipridae.